ACGAUGAACCUCACUUGUGGGGGGAUUAGUGGCGAACGGGUGAGUAACACGUGAGUAACCUGCCCUUAACUCUGGGAUAAGCCUGGGAAACUGGGUCUAAUACCGGAUAUGACUUCUCAUCGCAUGGUGGGGGGUGGAAAGCUUUUUGUGGUUUUGGAUGGACUCGCGGCCUAUCAGCUUGUUGGUGAGGUAAUGGCUUACCAAGGCGACGACGGGUAGCCGGCCUGAGAGGGUGACCGGCCACACUGGGACUGAGACACGGCCCAGACUCCUACGGGAGGCAGCAGUGGGGAAUAUUGCACAAUGGGCGGAAGCCUGAUGCAGCGACGCCGCGUGAGGGAUGACGGCCUUCGGGUUGUAAACCUCUUUCAGUAGGGAAGAAGCGUAAGUGACGGUACCUGCAGAAAAAGCGCCGGCUAACUACGUGCCAGCAGCCGCGGUAAUACGUAGGGCGCAAGCGUUAUCCGGAAUUAUUGGGCGUAAAGAGCUCGUAGGCGGUUUGUCGCGUCUGCCGUGAAAGUCCGGGGCUCAACUCCGGAUCUGCGGUGGGUACGGGCAGGCUAGAGUGAUGUAGGGGAGACUGGAAUUCCUGGUGUAGCGGUGAAAUGCGCAGAUAUCAGGAGGAACACCGAUGGCGAAGGCAGGUCUCUGGGCAUUAACUGACGCUGAGGAGCGAAAGCAUGGGGAGCGAACAGGAUUAGAUACCCUGGUAGUCCAUGCCGUAAA
Molecule: ribosomal RNA, 726 nt
Filed under: bacterium R19
Lineage: Bacteria
Description: bacterial SSU rRNA
Rfam family: Bacterial small subunit ribosomal RNA
Source: RNAcentral